GACGAACGCUGGCGGCGUGCUUAACACAUGCAAGUCGAGCGGUAAGGCCUUUCGGGGUACACGAGCGGCGAACGGGUGAGUAACACAUGGGUGAUCUGCCCUGCACUCUGGGAUAAGCCUGGGAAACUGGGUCUAAUACUGGAUAUGACCUCAGCAUGCAUGUGCUGGGGUGGAAAGCUUUUGUGGUGCAGGAUGGGCCCGCGGCCUAUCAGCUUGUUGGUGGGGUAAUGGCCUACCAAGGCGACGACGGGUAGCCGACCGGAGAGGGUGACCGGCGACACUGGGACUGAGACACGGCCCACACUCCGAGGGGGGGGAGCAGGGGGGAAUAUUGCACAAGGGGCGGAAGCCUGAUGCCGCGCCGCCGCGUGGGGGAUGAAGGCCUGGGGGUUGAAAACCUUUUUCAGCGGGGACGAAGGGUGAGUGCCGGUACCUGCAGAAAAAGCCCCGGCUAAUUACGUGCCAGCAGCCGAGGUAA
This 478-nucleotide ribosomal RNA is filed under the name uncultured bacterium. Its description in RNAcentral is "partial 16S ribosomal RNA". It matches the Rfam family "Bacterial small subunit ribosomal RNA", at positions 28 to 523 of the family's 1533-position model. The record is from RNAcentral.